Molecule: ribosomal RNA, 497 nt
Filed under: uncultured bacterium
Lineage: Bacteria
Description: partial 16S ribosomal RNA
Rfam family: Bacterial small subunit ribosomal RNA
Source: RNAcentral
GACGAACGCUGGCGGCGUGCCUAAUACAUGCAAGUUGAGCGCUGAAGGUUGGUACUUGUACCGACUGGAUGAGCAGCGAACGGGUGAGUAACGCGUGGGGAAUCUGCCUUUGAGCGGGGGACAACAUUUGGAAACGAAUGCUAAUACCGCAUAAAAACUUUAAACACAAGUUUUAAGUUUGAAAGAUGCAAUUGCAUCACUCAAAGAUGAUCCCGCGUUGUAUUAGCUAGUUGGUGAGGUAAAGGCUCACCAAGGCGAUGAUACAUAGCCGACCCGAGAGGGUGAUCGGCCACAUUGGGACUGAGACACGGCCCAAACUCCUACGGGAGGCAGCAGUAGGGAAUCUUCGGCAAUGGACGAAAGUCUGACCGAGCAACGCCGCGUGAGUGAAGAAGGUUUUCGGAUCGUAAAACUCUGUUGGUAGGGAAGAACGUUGGUGAGAGUGGAAAGCUCAUCAAGUGACGGUAACUACCCAGAAAGGGACGGCUAACUACGUG